This 563-nucleotide ribosomal RNA is filed under the name Saccharomyces cerevisiae (brewer's yeast). RNAcentral describes it as "partial large subunit ribosomal RNA". It matches the Rfam family "Eukaryotic large subunit ribosomal RNA", at positions 48 to 625 of the family's 3401-position model. The record is from RNAcentral. Lineage: Eukaryota; Fungi; Ascomycota; Saccharomycetes; Saccharomycetales; Saccharomycetaceae.
UAGCGGAGGAAAAGAAACCAACCGGGAUUGCCUUAGUAACGGCGAGUGAAGCGGCAAAAGCUCAAAUUUGAAAUCUGGUACCUUCGGUGCCCGAGUUGUAAUUUGGAGAGGGCAACUUUGGGGCCGUUCCUUGUCUAUGUUCCUUGGAACAGGACGUCAUAGAGGGUGAGAAUCCCGUGUGGCGAGGAGUGCGGUUCUUUGUAAAGUGCCUUCGAAGAGUCGAGUUGUUUGGGAAUGCAGCUCUAAGUGGGUGGUAAAUUCCAUCUAAAGCUAAAUAUUGGCGAGAGACCGAUAGCGAACAAGUACAGUGAUGGAAAGAUGAAAAGAACUUUGAAAAGAGAGUGAAAAAGUACGUGAAAUUGUUGAAAGGGAAGGGCAUUUGAUCAGACAUGGUGUUUUGUGCCCUCUGCUCCUUGUGGGUAGGGGAAUCUCGCAUUUCACUGGGCCAGCAUCAGUUUUGGUGGCAGGAUAAAUCCAUAGGAAUGUAGCUUGCCUCGGUAAGUAUUAUAGCCUGUGGGAAUACUGCCAGCUGGGACUGAGGACUGCGACGUAAGUCAAGGAUG